Molecule: ribosomal RNA, 468 nt
Filed under: uncultured bacterium
Lineage: Bacteria
Description: partial 16S ribosomal RNA
Rfam family: Bacterial small subunit ribosomal RNA
Source: RNAcentral
GACGAACGCUGGCGGCGUGCUUAACACAUGCAAGUCGAACGGAAAGGCCCUGCUUUUGUGGGGUUCUCGAGUGGCGAGCGGGCGAGUAACACGGGAGUAACCUGCUCUUGACUUUGGGAUGACUUCAGGAAACUGGGGCUAAUACCGGAUAGGAGCUCCUGCUGCAUGGUGGGGGUUGGAAAGUUUCGGCGGUGGGGGAUGGACUCGCGGCUUAUCAGCUUGUUGGUGGGGUAGUGGCUUACCAAGGCUUUGACGGGUAGCCGGCCUGAGAGGGUGACCGGCCACAUUGGGACUGAGAUACGGCCCAGACUCCUACGGGAGGCAGCAGUGGGGAAUAUUGCACAAUGGGCGGAAGCCUGAUGCAGCAACGCCGCGUGCGGGAUGACGGCCUUCGGGUUGUAAACCGCUUUCGCCUGUGACGAAGCGUGAGUGACGGUAAUGGGUAAAGAAGCACCGGCUAACUACGUG